UUAUCCCCGACUUAGGCCCCGUUUGAAUAUCCCUAAAAACAUAGUAUAGUUAAACUAUGCUACACCGGUAGAAAAAUAAUUCUAUAAAGCAUUUGGAAGAAAAAAAAAUGGCGUAAUUUUUAAAGUAUAGUUAUACUAUACUCCAAAAAAUAGAGUAAAAUUACAAUUCACCUUAACCAAAGAAAAAAAAUUUCACCAUUUUGGGCUCCCUUACUCUAAAGAUGUAUCUAAGUUCUAAAUAUUAAGUUUCAACAUAACAUUUUAAAUUUCAAUUUAAAUUUUAUAUUUCAAAUUUUAAAAUUUUAAAAUUU
Molecule: long non-coding RNA, 311 nt
Filed under: Ananas comosus (pineapple)
Lineage: Eukaryota; Viridiplantae; Streptophyta; Magnoliopsida; Poales; Bromeliaceae
Description: long non-coding RNA (ACOM_LNC016184)
Source: RNAcentral